Molecule: ribosomal RNA, 327 nt
Filed under: uncultured eukaryote
Lineage: Eukaryota
Description: partial 18S ribosomal RNA
Rfam family: Eukaryotic small subunit ribosomal RNA
Source: RNAcentral
CCCUUAGAUGUUCUGGGCUGCACGCGCGCUACACUGAUGCGUUCAACAAGUUGGACCUUGUCCGAGAGGAAAUCGGGGGAAUCUUUUGAAAACGUAUCGUGAUGGGGAUAGAUUAUUGUAAUUAUUAAUCUUCAACGAGGAAUUCCUAGUAAGCGCGAGUCAUCAGCUCGCGCUGAUUACGUCCCUGCCCUUUGUACACACCGCCCGUCGCUCCUACCGAUUGAGUGCUCAGGUGAAUAAUUCGGACUGCAGCAAUGUUCGGAUCCCGAACGUUGCAGCGGAAAGUUUAGUGAACCUUAUCACUUAGAGGAAGGAGAAGUCGUAACA